Trifolium pratense (red clover) is the source of this 1911-nucleotide long non-coding RNA. RefSeq lists it as uncharacterized. The record is from RefSeq and is a predicted model, not a curated record. Lineage: Eukaryota; Viridiplantae; Streptophyta; Magnoliopsida; Fabales; Fabaceae. The transcript has 6 exons.
UACUAUAUAAUAACGCUUUUGACACAAGCGCUAUAGUAGUCAAAAUUAAUAAAAGAAAUUUGUGGUUGCCGGGUGUCGAACCUUUGACCCCUUAGUUGUUGAUUAAUAAAUUAAAAAAUAUAUAUAGCAAAAAUAGAACAGUCCUUGCUAUCCCUUACUUUCCUAAUUCGUUUCUCACUAUCUGUCGUUCCUCUUUGAUCACUCACCGUCGAACCCUUGGUUCUUCUACUUUCCAUCUCAUCAAACCUCCAUCUUUAUCCUUAUCAAGUUCCUUGGUUUCAACUUAGCACCUCACCUCCAUCUCCGUCAAUCCUAGUUCUUUCGUUUCGACCCAACACCUCCAUCAUCGAACCCUAAAUCUCGUGAUUUCUCUCCCGACCCAGCAAUUGAACCCUAAUCCUCGUGAUUAUCAAACCCUAAAUUAUUGCUUUCAACACCUCACGCCCUUCUUUUACUUAUUUUAGGUUAUUAUAAGAAAGGCAUACCUGAAAGGUUUUAGGGAAAUACUUGUUGCUUUACAUGAGCUCAAGACCAUCCCACGGGGGCUGUAUCUACCAUUGGAGAACUUUCUAAUGCACAAAAGCUAAGAUACCAUUGGUUCCAAAGCAUAUGAAUCUGUGAGAAAUAUGCUACUCAUGGUAAUUACAAAUCAAAUGCUAAAUUCACUUUUGUGGCUGGUAAUUACAAAUCAAAUGCUAAAUUCACUUUUGUGGCAAUGUUCAGAGUGGUUCUGUCUAUUAUACUUAUCUUAGAUAACUGAAUUCUGAAGCUCAAAUGCUUAUCUUAUUUGUCUUAUGGAGAUGCUAUCUUUAGGAGUAGAGGGAGGAUUUUGCUUCUAUCAUAGGGAGAUAGAUUUGUAUUGGGGUGAAGUAGUUUUCUUCAAGUUUGCUUUUGUAUAUUGGGAUAUUUAUUGACUGUGUUCUGGUUUAAGCAUUCCAUAUGCCUUAUUAUUGAAUAUAGUUUUCUUUGCUUAUUUAGAUAUUCCUUAUACUCUGUGUGUUCUGGUUUAGAAAUUCUUUGCUUAUUUAAUAUAGCCGACAUUGAUCAUUGCCUGAACCUUAUUUACAAAAUGCCUAUAAGUGUUUUGUUAUGGUGCUGAAGUCAGGUAUAUCCAUUUCCUUUCUAAUUUUCGUUCGUGUUUCAUUCAUUUUAGUUUAACAUAUUUUUAAUCGAAAUUGGAGGCCUUGAAGUUGUGAUUUUGUGUGUGUGUGCGCGCGCGCGUGCCUGUGUUUGUAUCUCAUUGAAAAUCAAUUUUGCUCACCAUUGAACUUACACAUCUGCAGGUUAAGGGAAUUACCUAUAUCAGAGAUUGGAAGGCUUGUAUAUGUAAAAAGAGUGGUAAAGAGGACAAUAGUUUCGACCCGAGCUCCUCUAAGGGACUUUCAAGUGCCUAGAAUGAGGUGGUGUAUUUUAUAAAGAAUGUAGAGAAAAUUUACUGAUAGGAAAAGGUUGUGUACAUUGCUAGAAGUUGUUGCCACAAAAAGAGAUCACUUGCAUCCUCGUCGACGUCAUCAAGAUAAGUUGCAUGAAGUGAAGGAGGAAUGGAAAGAUUAUAUGGUCACAAAUAUUGUUCCUGAGGCAAAAAGUUUAAGCGACUUCUUGAAAACAUGAGAGAGGAGCUGGCUUGGUUGUAAAAUGGCAGAGGAAUGCUUAGGUUAAAUUUAAUUUGUUUGCUGUGGUGUUCUGACGAUCAUCAACCGGUUGCAGGAAAUGGACUGUUGGGAGCUUGUAGUAAAUCAAUUUUGUUGUCUUGUGGUUGGUUGUUUUAAUCUGAUUAAGGUUGAGGAUCAUAAGGACCUUUGUAUUAGCAUAAGUUUGUUUUGUUGGUUAGAUGUACUCAAAUAUUGUUUUAGACCAAAUCUAGUAUAUUUUUCAUGUUAUAUUGAAAAAUUACUUUUUAUUCUCUAUAAA